This 522-nucleotide ribosomal RNA is filed under the name uncultured bacterium. RNAcentral describes it as "partial 16S ribosomal RNA". It matches the Rfam family "Bacterial small subunit ribosomal RNA", at positions 355 to 893 of the family's 1533-position model. The record is from RNAcentral.
UGGGGAAUAUUGCACAAUGGGCGAAAGCCUGACGCAGCAACGCCGCGUGAGUGAUGAAGGUCUUCGGAUUGUAAAGCUCUGUCUUUUGGGACGAUAAUGACGGUACCAAAGGAGGAAGCCACGGCUAACUACGUGCCAGCAGCCGCGGUAAUACGUAGGUGGCGAGCGUUGUCCGGAUUUACUGGGCGUAAAGGGUGCGUAGGCGGAUGUUUAAGUGAGAUGUGAAAUACCCGGGCUUAACUUGGGUGCUGCAUUUCAAACUGGAUAUCUAGAGUGCAGGAGAGGAGAAUGGAAUUCCUAGUGUAGCGGUGAAAUGCGUAGAGAUUAGGAAGAACACCAGUGGCGAAGGCGAUUCUCUGGACUGUAACUGACGUUGAGGCACGAAAGCGUGGGUAGCAAACAGGAUUAGAUACCCUGGUAGUCCACGCCGUAAACGAUGAGUACUAGGUGUAGGAGGUAUCGACCCCUUCUGUGCCGCAGUAAACACAUUAAGUACUCCGCCUGGGAAGUACGAUCGCAAGA